This 534-nucleotide ribosomal RNA is filed under the name Bacillus sp. RN1(2015). RNAcentral describes it as "bacterial SSU rRNA". It matches the Rfam family "Bacterial small subunit ribosomal RNA", at positions 59 to 574 of the family's 1533-position model. Lineage: Bacteria; Bacillati; Bacillota; Bacilli; Caryophanales; Bacillaceae. The record is from RNAcentral.
CAGUCGAGCGGACAGAUGGGAGCUUGCUCCCUGAUGUUAGCGGCGGACGGGUGAGUAACACGUGGGUAACCUGCCUGUAAGACUGGGAUAACUCCGGGAAACCGGGGCUAAUACCGGAUGCUUGAUUGAACCGCAUGGUUCAAUUAUAAAAGGUGGCUUUUAGCUACCACUUACAGAUGGACCCGCGGCGCAUUAGCUAGUUGGUGAGGUAACGGCUCACCAAGGCAACGAUGCGUAGCCGACCUGAGAGGGUGAUCGGCCACACUGGGACUGAGACACGGCCCAGACUCCUACGGGAGGCAGCAGUAGGGAAUCUUCCGCAAUGGACGAAAGUCUGACGGAGCAACGCCGCGUGAGUGAUGAAGGUUUUCGGAUCGUAAAACUCUGUUGUUAGGGAAGAACAAGUACCGUUCGAAUAGGGCGGUACCUUGACGGUACCUAACCAGAAAGCCACGGCUAACUACGUGCCAGCAGCCGCGGUAAUACGUAGGUGGCAAGCGUUGUCCGGAAUUAUUGGGCGUAAAGCGCGCGCAG